UCCCUUGUUGUCCAGUGGUUAAGAUUUUGUGCUGCCAAUGCAAAGGGCCCAGGUUUGAUCCCUGGCUGGGGAA
Non-coding RNA from Cervus elaphus (red deer), 73 nucleotides. The record is from the annotation of a RefSeq genome assembly. Lineage: Eukaryota; Metazoa; Chordata; Mammalia; Artiodactyla; Cervidae.